RNAcentral lists this transfer RNA (66 nucleotides) under uncultured Prevotella sp. It matches the Rfam family "tRNA", at positions 5 to 66 of the family's 71-position model. From Rfam's summary of the family: Transfer RNA (tRNA) molecules are approximately 80 nucleotides in length. Their secondary structure includes four short double-helical elements and three loops (D, anti-codon, and T loops). Further hydrogen bonds mediate the characteristic L-shaped molecular structure. tRNAs have two regions of fundamental functional importance: the anti-codon, which is responsible for specific mRNA codon recognition, and the 3' end, to which the tRNAs corresponding amino acid is attached (by aminoacyl-tRNA synthetases). tRNAs cope with the degeneracy of the genetic code in two manners: having more than one tRNA (with a specific anti-codon) for a particular amino acid; and 'wobble' base-pairing, i.e. permitting non-standard base-pairing at the 3rd anti-codon position. Lineage: Bacteria; Pseudomonadati; Bacteroidota; Bacteroidia; Bacteroidales; Prevotellaceae. The record is from RNAcentral.
GGUGUAGUUCAGUUGGUUAGAGCGUCAGAUUGUGGUUCUGAAUGUCGUGGGUUCGAGCCCCACCAC